Long non-coding RNA from Carya illinoinensis, 456 nucleotides. RefSeq lists it as uncharacterized. NCBI's taxonomy places the organism in Eukaryota, Viridiplantae, Streptophyta, Magnoliopsida, Fagales, Juglandaceae. The record is from RefSeq and is a predicted model, not a curated record. The transcript has 3 exons.
CACCCCCCCCCCAGAUUUCGUCUCACCCGAGAGCAAGACUUCCCUCCUAUCUCUCUCUCUAACUCUCUCUGUGCUCUGCGAAGUGCGAUGCCCUAUGCCUCCCUCCCCCAAUUUCCUCUCUCUCUCUCUCUCUCUCUUUGCGCUCUGCCUUUGCGAUGUCCUAGCCCCUCCCGAAAUCACUCUCUCAUCUGCUCUAUCUCUCACUUUGCUAUUUGCGAUGCCAAACGGUGGAAGUGCUUGAGCUUGGGAUCCAAGAGAUUGGAACGUAUUUUCGUUUGGAUAUUAGCUUUUGCUGGCUAUGCUUUAUCAACCUUUAAGGAUCUCUUUCAGUCAGAUCACUUGAAGUUGCUACUUGAUGUGAAAUUAAAUCAUUGAUAAAAGACCAUGCUAAUGAUUUGUAAUUCAUAUAUUAUAAUUUUGUAAUAUAAUAUAUAAAUAACAAAAUAAUGUAAUAUG